UACAGCAACAACUGUUGCCGCCUACGUCGCAUCUCUCUGUGCGCACGUGUGAGAGUGUGCAUGUGGUCGGUGCCGACGUGUUGCCCUCCCAAACCCUGGCCGCUGCCGCUGCUGCUGCUGUUUUGUGGGUAGGCUAAGGAAAAUGGAACUCAUGGCCACAAUGGCCCUAGAUCGCGACGCGAUCAACACCGUCACGCUUCGCCUGCUACCACCGUCGGCCGCUCCCGGGGCAGCUGUGUCGUCGUGGCUGCUGUGGCACACAAUCCCGAUCACCGCCAGCCUAUCUCGCACGCUGAGUCGGCUCGUGUCGAUCGAGGCGUCUGCGAUGACGCACAUGCCGCUGGACGACACCGCAGACGCUGCGGCGAUGUGCCACUCAGCACACCGCUCGCACGAUCGAAAGGCGCGCUCGCCCUCCGCGGCCUCGGCGUCUUCGUCAUCGUCGUCGGCCUCGGCGUCAUCGGCUCUCUCAACGAGGACAAGGCUCACGUGCUCCACCGCGGAAGCCGAGAAGACGAGCUGGAUCGAGCUGGCGCGCGUGGGGUACGUUGUGAGCGAGAUUCACGCCUACUGCAUCCUCUUAAAGUGCCGCCGUGCGGCGCAGGCGGCAAGGUUGAAAGCGGCGUUGGAGGAGGGCGCUGCGCUGGGCUUGACGGCGCCGGUGGAGUACGUGACUGACGCGCGUCCAGUCGUCGUCACGCACUGCGCCUUUGCAGAGCGACGAGGAAGGGCGGAGGCCGUCGGCGCCGAUGGCACGAGUAUCACCGGCCACCACCUACCUCGUGUAAGGGCUCGCUGGUGCACCGGCGACCACAUGGUCUCCCUAUGGGAAGCGAUCGCUACCGUAUACCCCGUUCGCGGCAACGGCGGCAGUGGUGGUGAUGAUGGCGACGGCGACAGUGCCUCGGAUGGCGACGGCGAGCAUCACGACACUCGCGGGUCGCUACAGCGGCAUCAUCAGUAUCACCAUCAUCCAUACCAUCUGCAGAGCAGCCCGCACACCGCGUCCUCUGCUCCUGUUACGCCUUCUCCAGCGCGGCAGUCGCCUGCUGCAUCUUCCGCGAUGCGUAAGGGCGCCGCACCGCCACCGUCGCGGCACGCCUCCGCGGUCACCGUCGCCGCGGCAGCGUCUACACCGAAGCACACCCCGUUGUCUUCGGCGAAGGCAGCGGGACGAGCGUCGCCGAGUCGCCCCCCACACACGCCGCCUCAUCUCCCCCUCACCGGCCGCGGUGGCCGUGGCGGCGUCGACCUUGGCCCGCUGCUGAGUGGCGACUUCUGCACCAUCUGCCUGGACCCGCUUUACCUCAGCGCCUGCGUCACAACGCUCUGCCAGCACUCCUUCCAUUUAAGCUGCUACGCGCAGCUUCCGUCCGGGUCGGCCGAGUGCCCGCUCUGCCGCUUCUCCGUGUACGACCUGCUCAACGAUGCGCGCUGCAAGGUGUGCGGCACGUACGAGGACCUUUGGGUAUGCCUAAUCUGCGGCCACGUCGCGUGCGGCCGGGCGCGGCGCGAUCAUCAGCAGGAGCACUAUCAUGCGUCGGGACACUCCUGCUCGUGGCAGAGCACCACGAAUCGCAUGAGAAACUUGAGCUCCCGCAUGUUUCUCCACCAGGAGGUGGCGCUGCUGCUCGAAGAGGACGGUGUCGACGAUGCGGCGACGGCGGACAGUCCGCACAGCGUCGGUUCCGCUACGCGGCUCCGCAGCGCCGAGGCCGGGACGUCGUCAGAGGAAGCAGCGACAACCGCGAUGGGUGGGACACUGUCGCCCUCUGACGCGGAUCGCGUGCGGUACAUGUCGUGGAGCGACUCACUGGUUGACCACGACCUCCAGGAGGCACUGAACGAGAGCAAAGAAGAGGCGGUGGCGCAGUACUACACACAGUUCCUGCGUCAGCUCGCAGAGGAGCAGCAGCGGUGGUACGAGGCGAGGCUGGCGGAGCGACGCCGCUGCCGGCGCGAGAGGCAGAUGGCGACAGUCGCCAUGGCUGGUGGGCGUCGCGCAGAAAGCGCGUCGUCGUCCGCAGCGGGUUGGUUGUCAAACGUCGCACCAUCGGCGCACACCGCUCUGCACCGCAUUGCCGUGGACGAGCGGCGGCUGCGACGUCGCGUGCUCUCCGAGUACGUGCAGGCGACCAUCAGCCUCCUUCAGGCGGCCCAGCGCGAGUAUGCCGGCAUGACUCACACGCUCAGGGCCGCCCGCGAUGAUGCACAGCAGCAGGUGCUUCUCCGGUCGCACUUCAACUCCGGGCUUAUGGCACAGGUGGAGCGAGUACGCCAGCGCACACGAGAGUUGCAGCGCAAAGGCGAAACGGCCGCACAGCAGAAGGCGGCUGAGGAGGCGGAGCUGCAGCGUCUCGUUGAUGAGGCGUUGUCGUCGCUGUGACGGGCCACGCCGUGUAUCCGGCGCCGCCAGCACCCCCCCCCACACACACACACCUUCGUUCACAGCCCCCGAGGGCCAUUCGCCAUGCCGUCUCCUUGUCGUUCUGAUCUCCUCCGUGGUGCGUUGUCCGUGUGUGCACCCGGCGACUCCGUGGGUCGGCACACAUGCACACGCACAUAUCUAUCUGUGUGCGCGCAGGGGCAUCAGAACAAGAUGAUCACGAAGGCGAUGGAAGGCGGUGACAACUUUUCCUCUUGUGCAUACGUAUGACUGCGCGCCUGCACUGCGGCAGGCUCCCUCUCACCCGUCAUGUAAACACUUCGCGCGCGCACAAGCACACGUCCACGGCGGUCAUCUCCGUUGUUUCGCGCAUCUCUCUUGCUGCUUGCCACCGAUGCCGCUGCUUCGUGGCUCCCCCACAGUGAAGCCGCACCUCAUCACUCCCAGCCACACACGUGCAGGUGUGUGUGCGCAACAAGCACAAACACAGGAAGCCGAAGGCGUGCCUUGGGCAUGCUGACGACGCGCUCCCCUCCCCCACCCCACCCCACC
This 2938-nucleotide unclassified non-coding RNA is filed under the name Leishmania donovani. RNAcentral's name for it is "gene:LdHU3.01.0480(CDS-product:Ring_finger_domain /Zn-finger_in_ubiquitin-hydrolases_and_other_protein_putati ve)". The record is from RNAcentral. Lineage: Eukaryota; Euglenozoa; Kinetoplastea; Trypanosomatida; Trypanosomatidae.